UUCGAAAUCGGUAGACGCUACGGACUUAAAAUCCGUUGGCUUUAUUGACCGUGAGGGUUCAAGUCCCUCUACCCCCA
Molecule: transfer RNA, 77 nt
Filed under: Dicranum scoparium
Lineage: Eukaryota; Viridiplantae; Streptophyta; Bryopsida; Dicranales; Dicranaceae
Also listed under: 3 other names
Description: partial tRNA-Leu
Rfam family: tRNA
About the family: Transfer RNA (tRNA) molecules are approximately 80 nucleotides in length.
Source: RNAcentral